RNAcentral lists this ribosomal RNA (255 nucleotides) under uncultured bacterium. RNAcentral describes it as "partial 16S ribosomal RNA". It matches the Rfam family "Bacterial small subunit ribosomal RNA", at positions 524 to 776 of the family's 1533-position model. The record is from RNAcentral.
UACGUAGGGGGCAAGCGUUGUCCGGAAUCAUUGGGCGUAAAGAGCGUGUAGGCGGCCCGAUAAGUCCGCUGUGAAAGUCCAGGGCUCAACCCUGGGAUGCCGGUCGAUACUGCCGGACUACGGAGUUCGGAAGAGGCGAGUGGAAUUCCCGGUGUAGCGGUGAAAUGCGCAGAUAUCGGGAGGAACACCAAUGGCGAAGGCAGCUCGCUGGGACGUUACUGACGCUGAGACGCGAAAGCGUGGGGAGCAAACAGG